This 81-nucleotide small nucleolar RNA is filed under the name Carlito syrichta (Philippine tarsier). Its description in RNAcentral is "Small nucleolar RNA SNORD115 (ENSTSYG00000028326.1)". It matches the Rfam family "Small nucleolar RNA SNORD115". From Rfam's summary of the family: HBII-52 is a member of the C/D class of snoRNAs, which contain the C (UGAUGA) and D (CUGA) box motifs. HBII-52 is encoded in a tandemly repeated array with another C/D snoRNA, HBII-85, in the Prader-Willi syndrome (PWS) region of chromosome 15. The record is from Rfam by way of RNAcentral. Lineage: Eukaryota; Metazoa; Chordata; Mammalia; Primates; Tarsiidae.
GGGUCUGUAACGAAAUCUUUGUCUUGUCUCUAUAGAGGUGUUGUCUUAAAAGUCUUGCACAAUAGAGUUAUGUUGUGACCU